CCUACGGGAGGCAGCAGUCGAGAAUCAUUCACAAUGGGGGAAACCCUGAUGGUGCGACGCCGCGUGGGGGAAUGAAGGUCUUCGGAUUGUAAACCCCUGUCAUGUGGGAGCAAAUUAAAAAGAUAGUACCACAAGAGGAAGAGACGGCUAACUCUGUGCCAGCAGCCGCGGUAAUACAGAGGUCUCAAGCGUUGUUCGGAAUCACUGGGCGUAAAGCGUGCGUAGGCUGUUUCGUAAGUCGUGUGUGAAAGGUGCGGGCUCAACCCGCGGACGGCACAUGAUACUGCGAGACUAGAGUAAUGGAGGGGUAACCGGAAUUCUCGGUGUAGCAGUGAAAUGCGUAGAUAUCGAGAGGAACACUCGUGGCGAAGGCGGGUUCCUGGACAUUAACUGACGCUGAGGCACGAAGGCCAGGGGAGCGAAAGGGAUUAGAUACCCUUGUAGUC
RNAcentral lists this ribosomal RNA (446 nucleotides) under uncultured bacterium. Its description in RNAcentral is "partial 16S ribosomal RNA". It matches the Rfam family "Bacterial small subunit ribosomal RNA", at positions 338 to 795 of the family's 1533-position model. The record is from RNAcentral.